RNAcentral lists this transfer RNA (72 nucleotides) under Neotoma lepida (desert woodrat). It matches the Rfam family "tRNA". Rfam says of the family: Transfer RNA (tRNA) molecules are approximately 80 nucleotides in length. Their secondary structure includes four short double-helical elements and three loops (D, anti-codon, and T loops). Further hydrogen bonds mediate the characteristic L-shaped molecular structure. tRNAs have two regions of fundamental functional importance: the anti-codon, which is responsible for specific mRNA codon recognition, and the 3' end, to which the tRNAs corresponding amino acid is attached (by aminoacyl-tRNA synthetases). tRNAs cope with the degeneracy of the genetic code in two manners: having more than one tRNA (with a specific anti-codon) for a particular amino acid; and 'wobble' base-pairing, i.e. permitting non-standard base-pairing at the 3rd anti-codon position. Lineage: Eukaryota; Metazoa; Chordata; Mammalia; Rodentia; Cricetidae. The record is from Rfam by way of RNAcentral.
UGACAUGUAGCGCAGUUGGUAGAGCGCUUGCCUUGAACGCAUGAGACCCAGGUUCCAUUGCCAGCACCUCAA